GUGGGGAAUAUUGGACAAUGGGGGGAACCCUGAUCCAGCCAUGCCGCGUGUGUGAAGAAGGCCUUUUGGUUGUAAAGCACUUUAAGCGAGGAGGAGGCUACCGAGAUUAAUACUCUUGGAUAGUGGACGUUACUCGCAGAAUAAGCACCGGCUAACUCUGUGCCAGCAGCCGCGGUAAUACAGAGGGUGCAAGCGUUAAUCGGAUUUACUGGGCGUAAAGCGCGCGUAGGUGGCCAAUUAAGUCAAAUGUGAAAUCCCCUAGCUUAACUUGGAAAUUGCAUUGGAUACUGGUUGGCUAGAGUAUGGGAGAGGAUGGUAGAAUUACAGGUGUAGCGGUGAAAUGCGUAGAGAUCUGGAGGAAUACCGAUGGCGAAGGCAGCCAUCUGGCCUAAUACUGACACUGAGGUGCGAAAACAUGGGGAGCAAACAGGAUUAGAAACCCCGGUAGUCC
This 451-nucleotide ribosomal RNA is filed under the name uncultured bacterium. Its description in RNAcentral is "partial 16S ribosomal RNA". It matches the Rfam family "Bacterial small subunit ribosomal RNA", at positions 354 to 796 of the family's 1533-position model. The record is from RNAcentral.